AAAGCAAGCACUACACCACCAGCUAAGCACACGUCCAAUCAGCAGUGUGCAUGCCAAGUUCCAAAGCAAACAGGGAGACUGAAAGACGUCUCACUGUUGCACUUUGCACGAACCGAAAGAUGUGAGAUUCCCAGUUUCCCCACAACCCAGAUCAUCGCCAAGACACUAGCACAGUGCAGGCCACCACACCAUCAGCGUUAGAUGGAUCAGGAUCACACACAAAUCAUAUCCAGUAGGAAAAAAAAGAGAGAGAUGGAAUUAAAAUUAAAGGUAGCAAAAAAAAGAAGAAACCCAGAUC
This 298-nucleotide long non-coding RNA is filed under the name Oryza brachyantha (malo sina). RNAcentral's name for it is "long non-coding RNA (OBRA_LNC000054)". Lineage: Eukaryota; Viridiplantae; Streptophyta; Magnoliopsida; Poales; Poaceae. The record is from RNAcentral.